Molecule: ribosomal RNA, 120 nt
Filed under: Jaculus jaculus (lesser Egyptian jerboa)
Lineage: Eukaryota; Metazoa; Chordata; Mammalia; Rodentia; Dipodidae
Source: RNAcentral
GUCUAUGGCCAUACCACCCUGAAUGCACCUGAUCUCAUCUGAUCUCGGAAGCUAAGCAGGGUUGGGCCUGGUUAGUACUUGGACGGGAGAAUACAUGUGUGCCAGAGUCAACUACAGACA